This 21-nucleotide transfer RNA is filed under the name Lutra lutra (Eurasian river otter). RNAcentral's name for it is "partial tRNA-Pro". The record is from RNAcentral. Lineage: Eukaryota; Metazoa; Chordata; Mammalia; Carnivora; Mustelidae.
GGCUUUUUGCCUCUUCCUUGA